UAUUUGAUAUUGAGCCUACAUGGAUAACCGUGGUAAUUCUAGAGCUAAUACAUGCUGUCAGGCCCGACUUCUUGGAAGGGUUGUACUUAUUAGAUAUGAAGCCAAUAUUCCGAAAGGUCUAUUGUGGUGAAUCAUAGUAACUGAUCGAAUCUCCAAUUGGAGAUAAAUCAUUCAAGUUUCUGCCCUAUCAGCUUUCGAUGGUAGUGUAUUGGACUACCAUGGCAGUAACGGGUAACGGAGAAUUAGGGUUCGGUUCCGGAGAGGGAGCCUGAGAAACGGCUACCACAUCUAAGGAAGGCAGCAGGCGCGUAAAUUACCCAAUGCAGACUCUGCGAGGUAGUGACAAUACAUAACAACUCGGGACUCUUAUGGGUUCACGGGAUUGCAAUGAGGACAAACUAAAAGCCUUAGCGAGGAACAAGUGGAGGGCAAGUCUGGUGCCAGCAGCCGCGGUAAUUCCAGCUCCACUAGCGUAUAUUAAAGUUGUUGCAGUUAAAAAGCUCGUAGUUGAACUUCUGGCUACGCACGACUUCGGAAGCAAUUUCGGGUCGGUUGUUUGUAGUCAUCCGUCUGCGAACUGUUGCGGCCUUCACUGGCUUGCUUCAGGGAGCAGACCCUUUACUUUGAAAAAAUUAGAGUGUUUAAGGCAGGCAUCGCGCCUGAAUACAUUAGCAUGGAAUAAUGGAAUAGGACGCUUGUCCGUUUGAUUGGUUAUCGGAUUAGCGUAAUGAUUAAUAGGGACAGUUGGGGGCAUUAGUAUUUAAUUGUCAGAGGUGAAAUUCUUGGAUUUAUUAAAGACUAACUUAGGCGAAAGCAUUUGUCAAGGAUGUUUUCAUUAAUCAAGAACGAAAGUUAGGGGAUCAAAGACGAUCAGAUACCGUCCUAGUCUUAACUAUAAACUAUGCCGACUCGGUCUCGGCCGGGUACACAACACCCGGUCGGCGCCGUAUGAGAAAUCAAAGUCUUUGGGUUCUGGGGGGAGUAUGGUCGCAAGGCUGAAACUUAAAGGAAUUGACGGAAGGGCACCACCAGGUGUGGAGCCUGCGGCUUAAUUUGACUCAACACGGGGAAACUUACCAGGUCAAAACAUGGGUGGGAUUGACAGAUUGAGAGCUCUUUCUUGAUUCUAUGGGUGGUGGUGCAUGUCCGUUCUUAGUUGGUGGAGUGAUUUGUCUGCUUAAUUGCGUUAACGAACGAGACCUUAACCUGCUUACUAGACGUGUGCUAUCACAAGCGCACGCUCUCCUUAGAGGGACUAUGCGUUCCAAGCGCAUGGAAGUUUGAGGCAAUAACAGGUCUGUGAUGCCCUUAGAUGUCCUGGGCCGCACGCGCGCUACACUGACUCGUGCAACAAGUUUUUCCUGCUCCGGAAGGAGUCGGGUAAUCUUGAUAAUGCGAGUCGUGAUUGGGAUCGAUCUUUGCAAUUAUAGAUCUUG
This 1436-nucleotide ribosomal RNA is filed under the name uncultured Scuticociliatia. RNAcentral describes it as "SSU rRNA". It matches the Rfam family "Eukaryotic small subunit ribosomal RNA", at positions 118 to 1601 of the family's 1831-position model. Lineage: Eukaryota; Ciliophora; Oligohymenophorea. The record is from RNAcentral.